RNAcentral lists this ribosomal RNA (301 nucleotides) under uncultured bacterium. RNAcentral's name for it is "partial 16S ribosomal RNA". It matches the Rfam family "Bacterial small subunit ribosomal RNA", at positions 509 to 807 of the family's 1533-position model. The record is from RNAcentral.
CAGCAGCCACGGUAAUACGUAGGUGGCAAGCGUUGUCCGGAAUUAUUGGGCGUAAAGGGCUCGCAGGCGGUUUCUUAAGUCUGAUGUGAAAGCCCCCGGCUCAACCGGGGAGGGUCAUUGGAAACUGGGAAACUUGAGUGCAGAAGAGGAGAGUGGAAUUCCACGCGUAGCGGUGAAAUGCGUAGAGAUGUGGAGGAACACCAGUGGCGAAGGCGACUCUCUGGUCUGUAACUGACGCUGAGGAGCGAAAGCGUGGGGAGCGAACAGGAUUAGAUACCCGGGUAGUCCCUGUCUCUUAUAC